AGGACAUGAAACCUGAGGGAGGGAGAGAGCACAAAGACAGCAAGAGAGAGGGGGGGGAUUAACUAUCACUCCACACGAGCAUGAAGCCACUACACGGACACGGACUCACGCCGUGAGAAGAGAGAAACCGUCAACGGGUCUCGGUCUCCACGACCAGUUCAGAUCGUCCCAGAGAGGCAGCGAAAGCAAAGGGCCAGGCCAGCAACAUGAGGAACACUGCAGAGAACAACCGUACUGGUACCACCGUCACAGUCAUCACACCGAUCUGAGAAGGGGGGGGGGGGCAAGAGCGGAGAGAGAGACAAAAUCAAAUGGUGAUGCAUUCAUUCAUUCAUAAAAACACAGAGGGAGAGGGUGACAGAGGUACAAAUGAUCACAAUUCAUCAGGGAAAGCAUCUCUUUCUGUGAAGUUAGAAUGACCCAUCAAGAACUGCUCUGUUGAAGAAGACUCAGGCGUGCCUCUAACCAUCCAGCAAUGACAGACUUACAGCUAGUCAUCCCUCCUAGCUUUCUCCGUGUUAACUCUAUGCUCCUUAUGUAAGCAUGAUCACAACAGCUCAAAGAAAUACUAUAAAAAAAAUAAAAAAUUAAACUAUCCAAUGUGAUUUCAGAUUUAAAUAAAAAUAACAGUUAGUUUAGUACCAAAUUAUUUUAUGCUUACAUCAUUAAGGUCAAAGGAUAAUCUGAGGUCAAAGCUGAUAACUAUUGACCUGUCAAGCCCUUAGAAGGAAUAUGGUUGUAUGUCAUGCCAUCACUCCAAAUAACAGGGUCACAAUGUCAAGGCCCACACUGUCAUUUCAGAUCCCCCCUCCUCUAUGCCUCUACCCAUCAUCUGGGGACCUCUUAUCCAUCUUCUGUCUGUUACAGUAGGGUGUUGUUGUUCUCAAUACUGCACAUGUUUCUUUCUCUAUUGCUUUCUCUAUAAAUAUAUCUUUCCCCCUCUCCCUCCACCCCCCUCUCUCUGCCUGCCUACAUUACAAUGUGGUCUUCUUUCCUUUCCCAGGGGACUCGUAUUCCUUCUCUUCUCUUCUCUCUCCAUCAGUCUGUGUGAGCCCCAGGUGCAGACAGCAUGGCCAGAUAAAUAAACACUAAUAGCUGGUUUAUGACCCCCCCCCCCCCCUCCCCCAAAACACCUAACGACCCAUCCUAACCACCACCACCACCCCCCCCUUCUGUAAAUGGACUCAUCCAAACAGCACACUAACAAACAUUAGCAGCCAUUCUACUGAGGUUAUAACUCCAUUACCAGAAUUAUGACUAUCUGUCCCUCCUGUAGAAUCAGUGUUUCCCUUAUAUUCAUUUGGCAGCUGAGUAUGGUUCCCUCUACACAUUUUUUUUUUUUUACAUUGUAACACUCGUCUUAAAAAGUGUGUUACAAGUUGCAUAUCUACCUCAGAUUCUCAUCAGAUCGUCCGAGAAACCUCCAAAGCCACUAGCUAGCCAUCUUGUGAUCCUCGAAGUAUAGCAAGCCCUAUAGAUGUAGAUGCAAUAACUGUUAGCUAAGAUACACUAGCAAAAUCAUUUUGGGGGUUAAUAUAGAAUUGGCUGGUGAAGAUCAGGAGAAAAUUCAAAACUGUCCUCGAUUUUCUGAUGAGUUUCAAAAUAAAGAUCAUUUCAACCUC
Molecule: long non-coding RNA, 1622 nt
Organism: Salmo salar (Atlantic salmon)
Lineage: Eukaryota; Metazoa; Chordata; Actinopteri; Salmoniformes; Salmonidae
Source: RefSeq, a predicted model, not a curated record